This 68-nucleotide transfer RNA is filed under the name Marmota monax (woodchuck). It matches the Rfam family "tRNA". From Rfam's summary of the family: Transfer RNA (tRNA) molecules are approximately 80 nucleotides in length. Their secondary structure includes four short double-helical elements and three loops (D, anti-codon, and T loops). The record is from Rfam by way of RNAcentral. Lineage: Eukaryota; Metazoa; Chordata; Mammalia; Rodentia; Sciuridae.
GUGGUGGCUCAGUGGCAGAGCGCUUGCCUAGCAAGCGUAAGGCACUGGGUUCGAUCCUCAGCACCACA